AAUGAACGCUGGCGGCAUGCCUAACACAUGCAAGUCGAACGAAGCCUUCGGGCUUAGUGGCGCACGGGUGCGUAACGCGUGGGAAUCUACCCUUGGGUUCGGAAUAACAGUUAGAAAUGACUGCUAAUACCGGAUGAUGACGUAAGUCCAAAGAUUUAUCGCCCAGGGAUGAGCCCGCGUAGGAUUAGCUAGUUGGUGAGGUAAAAGCUCACCAAGGCGACGAUCCUUAGCNGGUCUGAGAGGAUGAUCAGCCACACUGGGACUGAGACACGGCCCAGACUCCUACGGGAGGCAGCAGUGGGGAAUAUUGGACAAUGGGCGAAAGCCUGAUCCAGCAAUGCCGCGUGAGUGAUGAAGGCCUUAGGGUUGUAAAGCUCUUUUACCCGGGAUGAUAAUGACAGUACCGGGAGAAUAAGCUCCGGCUAACUCCGUGCCAGCCGCCGCAGUAAC
Molecule: ribosomal RNA, 450 nt
Filed under: uncultured bacterium
Lineage: Bacteria
Description: bacterial SSU rRNA
Rfam family: Bacterial small subunit ribosomal RNA
Source: RNAcentral